This 254-nucleotide ribosomal RNA is filed under the name uncultured bacterium. Its description in RNAcentral is "partial 16S ribosomal RNA". It matches the Rfam family "Bacterial small subunit ribosomal RNA", at positions 524 to 776 of the family's 1533-position model. The record is from RNAcentral.
UACGGGGGGGGGCAAGCGUUGUUCGGAAUUACUGGGCGUAAAGGGUUUGUAGGUGGCUUGCUAAGUCAGACGUGAAAUCCCUCAGCUUAACUGGGGAACUGCGUCUGAGACUGGUGAGCUUGAGUGCAGGAGAGGAACGCGGAAUUCCAGGUGUAGCGGUGAAAUGCGUAGAUAUCUGGAGGAACACCGGUGGCGAAGGCGGCGUUCUGGACUGCAACUGACACUGAUGAACGAAAGCCAGGGGAGCAAACGGG